RNAcentral lists this ribosomal RNA (253 nucleotides) under uncultured bacterium. Its description in RNAcentral is "partial 16S ribosomal RNA". It matches the Rfam family "Bacterial small subunit ribosomal RNA", at positions 524 to 776 of the family's 1533-position model. The record is from RNAcentral.
UACGGAGGAUCCGAGCGUUAUCCGGAUUCAUUGGGUUUAAAGGGUGCGCAGGCGGGGCGAUAAGUCAGAGGUGAAAUCCUACAGCUUAACUGUAGAACUGCCUUUGAUACUGUCAUCCUAGAGUAUACUUGAAGUGGGCGGAAUGUAGCAUGUAGCGGUGAAAUGCUUAGAUAUGCUACAGAACACCGAUCGCGAAGGCAGCUCACUAAAUUAUAACUGACGCUCAUGCACGAAAGCGUGGGGAUCAAACAGG